AAAAAAUCCGUUUUUUAACGACACGGAAUCGGAUCAGUAUCAGUUCACUGGUGAAGACUGUGUUGGACUAACUUACAUGAAUGACCUUGGGGUAACUAGCAGCCGUCAAUCCGUCAUAGUGCCCCUAGCGGCCUGACGGUGGAAUAGCUAAAAACCUCAUUUUGAGCACCGUGGCACCGGCCAGCCUGACGAUGCAGAACAGAGAACACCUAAAACCGCAGAAGACGUCAGAAUUUUCUUUAGUCAAAUAGUCGUAACGACGUAACCUAGAAAAGUCGGUUAGGAUUUCAUUUAAGAAUGUGAUAAAAAGUUUCAGCAGUUUGUUUGUUUGAUCAAUGAUGAAUUUGUUCUUUAAAAUAAGUAGAAACAUGCAAAGAAUGCAGCUCUCUGUGAGUGUUUGUGAUUCUGGCUUACUUGCAACUCAGUUUACUCAUCCCCUUUGCUUCAUGUUGGUUGGGGUAAUCAAGUUGAUAUAGAUAGCUGUAACUUUAGUGAGAAUGUGGAUCAUAAUGAAUUGCUAAUCAAUUAGUGUACUUCGUGAAGACGAGAUAUACAUUUGGAGGUGAGAAUAUUAAUUUGUCGAUUUGUCGUCUCUUGCUACCUGUACCGGCGUUGAGUUUGCUGCCGUUCCAUAGACUUGAUCCAUUGGUAAAACUGAGGAGAGGUUGCUGAAAUUCAAGACUCGUCAAUAAAUUAUGUAGAUGUAGACAAAUUACAGGUGCAUAUCUGGGCUCCCUUCUUCAGUGGCCCCGUUUCCCUAAAUAACCACUAACCAACGCCCGCCGGUGGUCACUCACUCGCUGCGACAACCAGGAGGAAGGGAGAUGUUUGGUCGAACGGGGACUUGCAAGGCGCAUGAUUCGAUGAAAUCUGUUGAAGGGUCAUGAGUCUAGCCGGAAGCCUACUAUGAUGCAUUGCUCUCAUAAUAACUUCUCUUCAGCUCUCUUCGCUCUUUUUCCGGGUUCUCUAAACCACGGCCGGGUAAUCUCCCUGGUAGAGUCAGUCGGGCAGUGUCUCCCCCUGCUUGACUGACUGCAGUUUUACCGGACGGUUUGUUUAAUAAAUAAAACAAGUAUAAAAACCAUAUAAUGUUUUCAUUUUAUAAAUUAUUAUUCAUUAAUUAAAUAUAUAUAGAUAACAACUUGAUUAACAAGCAUAUUUAUACAACAUUGUUUAUUAAACAGACCGUCCGGUACAAACUCUUAGUUAGCACUAUUGCUCAAAAACUGAUUCUCUUGAAUCAGCAGACUCGGAGAGUUUAUAGCGCCGUCAAGGUAGAUAUUUCUGAAUGGUACCCGUCUUGUCAACUGCUAAUGAUUCGUUCUUGGUUUGACGGAAGCUGUGUUGUGUUUGUUGAUCGUCUCCACAUGCACGCGAUAAUCAAGACCAGCAACGUCUUGAUCAAGAAGAAGAAAAGAACGGAGAAGCAAAGAACGACGAUGUAAAUAGCGGGUUGGGUACCGCUAAAUUCAUUCUUAGUUGAAUGUCGAAUCGCUAAUACCAUUGUUGGUUAUGGUAGAACAGUUUUCCAUACUGGUACGCUGUAUGACGUCGAGCAUUGCCAAAAUGGAAGUGCUCUUUGAAGAACUGAGCGUCUAAAUCUUCUUCAGUCAGAUGAAGCUAUCGGAUUCGGAAAUCGUUGAAGAAGCAGAGGACAUCACAGCUGAAAAAAAAAACGUGAGUCAAACUCCUGUGGUUAAGUUCUGCAGCUACUCUCAAAAUAUUUUGUCUUGUUUGCUCGUGUUGAUUGUAGACUGCUUUUAAAUUAUCUAUCAGUGAAGCCCUAAUAAGAGGUCCAAGAGAAAUUUAUUGGGGUCAACUGAUACCAUACCACGUACUAAAUCGUUAAUGGUUUUCAGGUAAAAAAUAACCAUGAGAAUAUGGGGUCGCAGAAAUAGAUGUCAACUGGUGGAAAAUAAGAAGAAAUUGUGCCUGUUGCACAUCGAUAUUAUUGGCCUUGAUUCUUAAAGGUGGCUUGGCUAAACUUUCGACGGUUAAACUCUAUUUAAUAAAUAGAUAACAUAACAUUUAGCUAAUUAGGAGCUAGCUUUUAAAGGAUUAAAAUUUUAAAAAAAAUUGCGUUAGAAUCUUGAAUAAAGAAAAAGUCUUAUCAGAUCCGAGAUUGACCUGACAAGUCUAUAGAAUGUCUAUGAUUUAACAAAUCACGCCACUGAAGCACACCUUCUUACCUUUAUUCAUGCUCCGGUUUCGGUAGUCACUUUUUAUGUAGCCUUUUUAUGCAGAAAGAAGAAUCACAAACCAAGAGAAACAUUCAUUUAUACAUGAACUAUAAACAGAUUCUACAAACCGGAACAUUUAGAUAGAGACCACUGCUGUUAUUUAUUAAUUUAUGUUUUAGGUUUAUGACUAUCUGAAUGGCUAAUACUGAUCGUUCUUUUGAAUUACGUUUAGCAAACUGAAAAGGAUGUAGAUGGACUUAUUCUAUGAUUUUAUCCCGUCCCGAAUGGUGUUAGCCAUUAGGUGUUACUAGUUUGAGCGGUAAGCACCUGCGCGCGCGGAAUUUUUCUUUGCACGCGAAAUCUAAAAUGCGGGUCGAAAAUUUAUGCUCGCGAACGAACAUAAAGAUAAAAUGCGCGCAAGGCAAAGGGAAAAUGCGCCCUUGGUUACCGCAUUGUAAACUAUCCUAACCUUACCUAACCAGCUAACCUAACUUAACCAAACCUAACAUUUUCACCUUCCCCGCGUUUUAGUGCGUUUACGCGAAAAAUCAAGAAAUUUUCGACAUUCAUUUUAGUUUUUCUCACACCAAAAAUAACUACGCGCAUAUUAGUGUCCGCGCGCGCGAAAACUAGUAAUACCCCUCAAGACUGGUACACAGUCCAUCUGCGUCCUUUUCAUAAUGCUAAACAUUGUUCAAAAGAAGGAUCAUCAAUGUAACACCCACUGAUUCAUUUGAUACCCCACCUUUCAUUUCCUUUCCAGUCUGUCGACGGGGUUCCGUGACCAAUGAAAUCAAACAAGUAAUCAAUUACGAAAUUAGGGAAACAUGGCGAAAGUAAUCAUGAAUUGGAGUUGUUUGACAGACGUCAAUGGGGCAUCGAGCCGAUCCUCUCUUGAACUUGGAGAACCCACCAGGAAAAGAGGUAAAAUUAAACUAAGGUUUGCGCUUCAGAUCAAGAAUUGACAACCGUGCCAACCAUCAUCAGUUCGAAUCCAUCGUUAUCUAAAAAAAAGCCUAUCUAUAAUUUACAAAAUUCAACAUCGAAAUCACUAUCCAUAGAAAAUUAAGCCACAGGGCAAAUCAAGCCAAGACGUUGCGACGUCAUCGGAGCUUCCUUUUGCCCCAUCUUCCUUGAUCAUUCUUUAGGCUUCGUUUUAACACAUUUUUUUUCAAUCGUCCUGAAUAACCGAUCAAUCUGCUAUUAAUUUUUUGUUUACGAUAAUGUUACGAUUAUUGCCUGCCUUGACCGUGUUAACUGUACAUAAUCUGGUUGUGCUUACCUCUGCUGUUUGAUUCUUUUUUAAAACUAAAUUAAUACGUGUAAUACAUUUAUAUACGCCUUUA
Daphnia pulicaria is the source of this 3526-nucleotide long non-coding RNA. RefSeq lists it as uncharacterized. The record is from RefSeq and is a predicted model, not a curated record. NCBI's taxonomy places the organism in Eukaryota, Metazoa, Arthropoda, Branchiopoda, Diplostraca, Daphniidae. The transcript is spliced from 4 exons.